RNAcentral lists this unclassified non-coding RNA (329 nucleotides) under soil metagenome. RNAcentral's name for it is "partial contains 5.8S ribosomal RNA, internal transcribed spacer 2, and large subunit ribosomal RNA". The stretch from base 1 to 120 matches the Rfam family "5.8S ribosomal RNA", at positions 35 to 154 of the family's 154-position model. The record is from RNAcentral.
GAUGAAGAACGUAGCGAAAUGCGAUAAGUAAUGUGAAUUGCAGAAUUCAGUGAAUCAUCGAAUCUUUGAACGCACAUUGCGCCCCCUGGUAUUCCGGGGGGCAUGCCUGUUCGAGCGUCAUUACAACCCUCAAGCUCUGCUCGGUAUUGGGCCCCGCCAGUUCUGGCGGGCCCUAAAGUCAGUGGCGGUGCCUUCCGGCUCCGAGCGUAGUAAUUCUUCUCGCUCUGGAGACCCGGUUGUGUGCUUGCCAACAACCCCCAAUUUUUUAAGGUUGACCUCGGAUCAGGUAGGGAUACCCGCUGAACUUAAGCAUAUCAAUAAGCGGAGGA